Molecule: unclassified non-coding RNA, 117 nt
Organism: Pongo abelii (Sumatran orangutan)
Lineage: Eukaryota; Metazoa; Chordata; Mammalia; Primates; Hominidae
Rfam family: Metazoan signal recognition particle RNA
About the family: The signal recognition particle (SRP) is a universally conserved ribonucleoprotein.
Source: Ensembl
GCCGGGCGCGGUGGCUCACGCCUGUAAUCCCAGCAUUUUGGGAGGCUGAGGCGGGCGGAUCACCUGAGGUCAGGAGUUCAAGACCAGCCUGACUAACAUGGUGAAACCCUGUCUCUA